Long non-coding RNA from Meriones unguiculatus (Mongolian gerbil), 979 nucleotides. RefSeq lists it as uncharacterized. The transcript has 5 exons. The record is from RefSeq and is a predicted model, not a curated record. NCBI's taxonomy places the organism in Eukaryota, Metazoa, Chordata, Mammalia, Rodentia, Muridae.
UUUAUUGUGAAGGGAUGUUGAAUUUUGUCAAAGGCUUCUUCUGGUUUUUGUCUUUCAGGCUAUUUAUAUGGUGGAUUACAUUUGUCAAUUUAUGUAUGUUGAACCAUCUCUACAUCUCUGGAAUGCAGCCUACUUGAUCACGAUUCCAGGCCUGCUGUGAAGAAGAGGAUUGAGGACUGCUGCUGUAAUCCUAGACAAAAGCCCCCAUGGCGGAGGAGAUAAGCCACUUCUUGAUAGAAAGGUUCAAGUGAAGGAUUGUCCACGGAGCUCUCUCUCCAGCCCCCGAAGCCCUGUGAAAGUAUUUUUCCCUGUACUGAGAAUGAAACCCAAGGCCUUCUCCAUGAUCGCAUCUCAUGUAGUACAUGACCUGGAACACAUGGAAGCUGAGAAGAAUGGUCAUGAACUCUUGCUCCUCUUGCCUUUGACCUCCUAAGUCCUGGGAUCUCUGGUGUGGACACCAUACCUGGCUGGUUCCAGGGAUGAAAUUCAAGUCAUGGGCUUGGCAGCAAGCACCUCUACCUGACGAGCCAUCUUGCUAGCCUGAAGCUCAGUUUAAGCGUCAGCAUACACUUGCUGGGCCUUCUUUGUUCCAGCGUUGCAGUUAAACCUGGAUCAGGCUUAGGCAUUCUAACCACGGAAGAUGGUUUCCAAUUUUGCAACCAUGAUAUAAACAAGUAGGACAACUGUGAUGAUUAAUUUUGUAUACCAAGUUGGCUGGGUCAUGCUGCCCAGAUAUUUGGUUAAACAUUAUUCAGAAUGUUUCUUGUGAUGGUGUUUUUGGAAGAGAUUAACAUUUAAAUGAGCGGACUUUGGGUAAAGCAGCUUACUCUUCAUAAUGUUACUGGACCUCAUCCAAUUGGCUAACAGCCUUAUUGCAUCGAACACUGACCCAGAGGAAGAAGGAUUUCUGCUAGAACCUAUUGACCCAAACUGAAACAAAACCUUUCAUAGGUCACCACAGUCACGAGUGCCAAUUCUA